RNAcentral lists this ribosomal RNA (425 nucleotides) under uncultured bacterium. RNAcentral describes it as "bacterial SSU rRNA". It matches the Rfam family "Bacterial small subunit ribosomal RNA", at positions 355 to 772 of the family's 1533-position model. The record is from RNAcentral.
UGGGGAAUAUUGGACAAUGGGGGGAACCCUGAUCCAGCAAUGCCGCGUGUGUGAAGAAGGCCUGCGGGUUGUAAAGCACUUUCAGUGGGGAGGAAUAUUGUGUUGUUAAUAGCAAGACGAUUGGACGUUACCCACAAAAGCAGCACCGGCUAACUCCGUGCCAGCAGCCGCGGUAAUACGGAGGGUGCAAGCGUUAAUCGGAAUGACUGGGCGUAAAGGGUGCGUAGGUGGUUUGUUAAGUUAUCUGUGAAAUACCUGGGCUUAACCUAGGGCGGUCAGAUAAAACUGAUAAACUAGAGUAUGGGAGAGGAUAGUGGAAUUUCCGGUGUAGCGGUGAAAUGCGUAGAGAUCGGAAGGAACACCAGUGGCGAAGGCGGCUAUCUGGCCUAAUACUGACACUGAGGCACGAAAGCGUGGGGAGCAAA